AGUCAGGUGAUUCAGUGGCAGAAUUCUCACCUUCCAGGUGGGAGACCUGGGAUUGAUUCCCAGCCAGUUCG
Molecule: transfer RNA, 71 nt
Filed under: Loxodonta africana (African savanna elephant)
Lineage: Eukaryota; Metazoa; Chordata; Mammalia; Proboscidea; Elephantidae
Rfam family: tRNA
About the family: Transfer RNA (tRNA) molecules are approximately 80 nucleotides in length. Their secondary structure includes four short double-helical elements and three loops (D, anti-codon, and T loops).
Source: Rfam by way of RNAcentral